UCUCCGUAGGUGAACCUGCGGAGGGAUCAUUACAGAGUUCAUGCCCUACCGGGUAGAUCUCCCACCCUAUGUUAUUAUUACCUUGUUGCUUUGGCGGGCCGUUAGGCUCCGGCCCGACUACCGGCCCCGGCUGGUAAGCGCCCGCCAGAGGACCCAAAACCCUGAAUAUUAGUGUCGUCUGAGUACAAUAUAAUAGUUAAAACUUUCAACAACGGAUCUCUUGGUUCUG
RNAcentral lists this unclassified non-coding RNA (229 nucleotides) under plant metagenome. RNAcentral's name for it is "partial contains small subunit ribosomal RNA, internal transcribed spacer 1, and 5.8S ribosomal RNA". The record is from RNAcentral.